GAUGUUUUUGCAAUCAAAGCGGUAAUGAAAAACAAAAACAAAAUUAUUUGACUGAAUAUGCAUUUUAUUGAUUGAAAAAGGUGUGGCUCGAAACCGAGCAAUACACAGGAAGCAAUCCCUGAAAAGAGGUAAUUGCGCACAAAAAGAAAAAUCUAUCCUAAUGGCAAUGUGAACCCGUGAUCUCAUCGAGUUCCAACUCGGUUACACCCCAUAUGUCCUCAAGACUCUCC
RNAcentral lists this long non-coding RNA (230 nucleotides) under Lathyrus oleraceus (garden pea). RNAcentral describes it as "Pisum sativum (pea) long non-coding RNA (PSAT_LNC018114)". The record is from RNAcentral. Lineage: Eukaryota; Viridiplantae; Streptophyta; Magnoliopsida; Fabales; Fabaceae.